CGGCGGACGGGUGAGUAAUGUAUGGGGAUCUGCCUGAUGGCGGGGGAUAACUACUGGAAACGGUAGCUAAUACCGCAUAAUGUCUGCGGACCAAAGCGGGGGACCUCCGGGCCUCGCGCCAUCAGAUGAACCCAUAUGGGAUUAGCUAGUAGGUAAGGUAACGGCUUACCUAGGCGACGAUCCCUAGCUGGUCCGAGAGGAUGACCAGCCACACUGGAACUGAGACACGGUCCAG
RNAcentral lists this ribosomal RNA (235 nucleotides) under uncultured bacterium. Its description in RNAcentral is "partial 16S ribosomal RNA". It matches the Rfam family "Bacterial small subunit ribosomal RNA", at positions 96 to 334 of the family's 1533-position model. The record is from RNAcentral.